This 253-nucleotide ribosomal RNA is filed under the name uncultured archaeon. Its description in RNAcentral is "partial 16S ribosomal RNA". It matches the Rfam family "Archaeal small subunit ribosomal RNA", at positions 474 to 727 of the family's 1478-position model. The record is from RNAcentral.
AACCAGCACCUCAAGUGGUCAGGAUGAUUAUUGGGCCUAUAGCAUCCGUAGCCGGCUCUGUAAGUUUUCGGUUAAAUCUGUACGCUCAACGUACAGGCUGCCGGGAAUACUGCAGAGCUAGGGAGUGGGAGAGGUAGACGGUACUCGGUAGGAAGGGGUAAAAUCCUUUGACCUAUUGAUGACCACCUGUGGCGAAGGCAGCUAUCUGGGAUACAACUGACGCUGAGGUACGAAAGCGUGGGGAGCAAACAGG